Long non-coding RNA from Oncorhynchus tshawytscha (Chinook salmon), 424 nucleotides. Lineage: Eukaryota; Metazoa; Chordata; Actinopteri; Salmoniformes; Salmonidae. The record is from Ensembl.
GAGAGAGGUUGAGAGAAAGAUGGGGUUGAGAGAGAGAGGUUGAGAGAGAGAGAUUGAGAGAGAGAGAGAGAGAGAGAUUGAGAGAGAGAGGGAGAGAGAGGUUGAGAGAGAGAGGUUGAGAGAGAGAGAUAGGUUGAGAGAGAGAGAAGUUGAGAGGGAAAGGUUGAGAGUAAGAGAGGUUGAGAGAGAGAAAGAGAGAGGAUGAGAGAGAGGCUGAGAGAGAGGCUGAGCUAGAGAGAGGUUGAGAGAGAGAGGUGGAGAGAGAGAGGUUGAGAGAGAGAGGUUGAGAGAGAGGUUGAGAGAGAGAGGUUGAGAGAGAAAGAGGUUGAGAGAGAGAAAUUGAGAGAGAGGUUGAGAGAGAGAGAGAGAGAGCGUUUGAGAGAGAGAGAUUGAGAGAGAGAGGGAGAGAGAGAGAGAGAGAGAG